Manduca sexta (tobacco hornworm) is the source of this 790-nucleotide long non-coding RNA. RefSeq lists it as uncharacterized. The transcript is spliced from 3 exons. The record is from RefSeq and is a predicted model, not a curated record. Lineage: Eukaryota; Metazoa; Arthropoda; Insecta; Lepidoptera; Sphingidae.
GAGGCGGCCGCGCUGCGCCGCGCCGCGGACGAGCGCCAGCGCGCGCUCGACGACACGCGGCAGCUGCUCAGCGCAGAGCACGAAGACCGCGAGCGCUGUUCGCGCGAAUGUUCGGAUUUGAAGGUUCGCGUAGCGAUGGGCGCGGCGGAGACGGCCACGCUGAAAGCUGUGGUGGAAGAGCUGCGCGCUGCGCUGGCCCGCCUCGACGCGCAGCUCCGCGUCACCAAGGAACAGCUGGAGUGGUGGCCGAGACCGCUCACCAGAAUGCUGGGUAUGGCAAGAUCAUGGCUCCGGCAUCCGAUGUCGAUGCCAGAGGCCAUCUUUUGGACAUUGAUUCCCGCCCGACAAGGCUGUUGAUAAUGUGUUGGCAAAAAAGCGAGUUGACUACCAGGUAAAUGCGCAGAAACCCCAUAGUUAAAUGUAACAUAAUAUCAUAAAAAGUAAACACCCCAUGUAAACAAGACAAAGACAUAAAAAGCAAGAUUAUUUAGCAAAUAAAAUUAUUGCAAUGUUAUCGCAUACAUAUUUAUAAUCUUAUGAUAGCUACUUAAAUAAAUGGAUAAAGAGGUAAUAAAUAGGUAUAUAAUAGAUGGUAGAAACACCAAAACAUACCGAUGACGAAUGAACAGUUGCAAUAAAUAUUCGGUAGGUAUUUGGUAAGUAUUUUUUAUCAUAACUAUUUUUAACGUUUAUGUAUGUAUUGUAGUGUGUUUUGUAAGUUUUAGAGUUUUAUAAGAAGUUAUCAUAUUGGUAGAAUGUUUAGCUUUAAUAAAUUAUGUUAUAUACUUAA